This is a non-coding RNA of Saccoglossus kowalevskii, 9236 nucleotides long. The record is from RefSeq and is a predicted model, not a curated record. NCBI's taxonomy places the organism in Eukaryota, Metazoa, Hemichordata, Enteropneusta, Harrimaniidae.
GCCAGAUUGCUUUGGUGAGCCUGAUCACUGUUAGGAUCAAAACACACUUCGUUUAUAAAUAAUACGGAUAGCAGAUCUCCGGUCUACCUCCAGUAUGGAUAAUGAUAUAGCUGGGGUUCGUAUAGAACCACCGGUUGUCGAGUUCGUAGAUGCAGGAGAGAAUAUUGUACAUAGUUUGACCAUAUCCGUCCAAAACGUUAGCAAAAGUAGUAAAAUUAUCAAGUUCCACCGUCCAUCAACAAAUAACUUUAGAUUGAAAGUGAAAAAUCCUAACAAACCAGUAGCUCCUGGUUUAGAAGUAAAGGCAACUGUUGAGUAUUUCACAGACAUCGCUAAAGACUGUGAAGAUAGGUUGAUAUUAUUGGUGGAUGAAGAUGUCAUUGAAAUUCCACUCUUUGCAUACUGUCCACAGCCACUAUUGGAAUUAGAAGGACCUGUUGACUUUGGUGAAGUGGUAGCCAAUCACAGAGUCUUAUCUCAAGAAAUCUCUUUAUACAAUCAUGGAUCAAUGCUGGGUGAAUUUAAAAUCAAAUAUGAUGGACCUCAACCGCUUGUAAUAUUGCCAAGUAGUGGAAAAGUCAAACCUAAAACAGCACAGAUUAUUAAGAUUGAAUUUGUAUCCAAGACAGCUGGUGAUAUUGAUGAGAGAGCUACCUGUGUACCAUUUGGACAGACAUACUAUGGCACCGAUAAAACAGAAGGGACUAUAUGUAUAACAAUGGUCCUGAUCCUGUCAGUUUUGUUACUGUUAUGCAGGAAGGUGCUCUUGGAGAAGAAGUGGGUGUUGAUUUAUCAAAGUCUACUACAGCCAUCAUGAACCCUAACAAAACAAAGCCAAGUGUCACAAAUGAUAUGGCUGCCUUGUUCACUGCAAUACCAAAUCAAGGAGUGCUUGGACCCUAUCAAAAAUUACCAGUAUUUUUCCGAUUUAGUCCAAGAUUUCAUAAAUCCAGUCAGGGCUGGAAAGGAACUGUGAACAUUGCCCCAAGACAAGACUAUGCAGUGUUUGUACAUAUUGAGAUGGUUGGCAGCAAUAAGGGAUUCUCUGAUGAUAAUGAAAAACAAAAUGAAAAUGAAAACAGUAACCGAUGUAAAGUAGAAUUAGCACUGACCGGUACAGCCUUACCUGUCUUGAUAAGCUUAUCUCCACAGAGUCAGUAUGACUUUGGUGAAUGUCCAGUUGAGGAGCAUGUAGAUACUUUGUGUACAUUGAAGAAUGAAUCUACAGUGCUGCCUGUAUCGUUUGUAUUCCGUCGUGUGGCUCAGUUCAACGCUAGUCCCCCAGUAGGAAGAUUGACACCAGGACAGAGUCAUGAUGUCAUAUUUUCUUUCAAACCUAACCAGUAUGGAACAUUCAAGAAAAUACAGUUUGUGGAUAUAUUAGGACCAGUAGCUGAUGAUGACACUGUCAUGGGAACACACCUUGCCCCUAUACACACCCUGCAUAUUGCAUUCACUGGAGUCAGUAGUCCGCAGACUACCAAGAAGCAACCCAAGUUUAACCCUGGUAUUACACCAUUGGUAGUUGGUGAAGUGGGUCAGUUCGUUGAUGUCAAGUUUUCUGAAGCUAAACCAUAUGAUCCAAGAGCAGCCAUGUUAAAUGCUCCAAGAAGCAAAGGGUUGCACAUAGCAGAGGCAGGAAAGAAAACCAAGGAUGACCUCACAUUGGUUUCAUAUCCAAAUGACAGAGAUAGAAGCAUCAGACCUAGCUUUAGAAGAGAUAAUUAUGCUGUUAUUUUCACUAAGAAUGAGAGAUAUACAUAUGUGGAUCCUGACUAUGCUUACACUGAUGAAGAACUGGAAGCUAAGAAAGCACAUAGAGAUCAAUACAUUGGUUACAUCAAGCAGUUGAGAGAAAAUAGAACAGUCAGAAAGAAAGCAAGGGAAUUUAAGGAGGUGAAUAAUGCAACUGACAUAGGUGUGAAACCAGCCUCUGGAUUGAGGUCACCACAGCCUAAAGUUGAUGAAAUUAAAAAACAUUUGAAAACUCCAGUUCCUCCACACAGUGUGUUUCGCAUGUUGAACACUAAGGAAUUGGCUGACGCUGAGAAGGAAGCAACAAGCAGACCAGUUAGUGAAGGUUUGAAUGCAGUACCUAUGAAUAAACAAGAAAGAUCAGAGUGUAAAAAAAGAUUGUCGCCGCAACAAUUACAUCAAGUUGUUAUUGGUCCACCUACCAUUAAUUUUGGUGAAGUAUGUUUGAAAUCUACCAGUAUCCAACACAUGGACAUCGUUAACAACUUAUCUCAUCAUAUUCUUGUAGUGGUAGAUAUUGAUUGCCGUGAAUUACGUCAAACCAGUCCACUAUCUCAGGUAGUACCCGCACACUCAAAAGCACAGUUACCACUCAUAUUUGAAUCCAGUACCAAAGGCAGAUUCCAAAGGAAUGUAACGUACACAGUAAACGGUCACCAUCAAGACCAUGUUAUUGUAUUUGCUGAGGUUGUGCCAGUGUCCCUGGUGUUGUCCACAACUGAUCUAACAUUGAGACCUACACCAGGCAUGCCAGCUGAAGCAGGUUUAAGAGAUGUUAUUGUAUUGAAAAAUUCUCGUAACUAUCCAGCUGAUUUUACUUGGCAGCCAAUCCUGGGUGAAAGAGGCACAGCUUUUUCUAUAAGACCAGCUACCGGAACUGUGGAUGCAUUCAAAGAUUUAGAAUGUGAAGUUGUAUUCCAUCCAUCAUUCCAUGCUCCAGAAGAAGGACAGUUUGCAUUACAAGUACACGGUGGAACUACCAUGAAACUGAACUGUUUGGCUAAUCUUGGACCAACACAAGUACAGUUUAUAGAAAGGAGAAUUCUAUUUGGGGCAGUGCCUUUACAUCUAACAACUGUAAGAACAGCACAGUUGUACAAUACAAGUCAAAACCAUGCAUAUUUCCAGGUGAUAGAUCCUAAUCCAUUCCCUGGAUUAACUGUACUGCCCACACAUGGAGUUGUGCCUGUUGGUGGUGUUGCAGAAAUCAAAGUCAGCUUAACACCAAGUGCUGUACUCAAGUUUGACACUCGUGUACAAGUGGCAAUCCGUGGUUGGAAAACUGUUGAUUUAAGAAUGGGUGGCACAGUAGAACCACCAAUAGUGGACAUUGACUUGCCUUCUUUUCAUCUUGGCGGUGUCUAUUGUGGAUCUAUUAUGACAGUUCCAUUCAAACUCAUCAACCGAGCACAGACCAGAGCUAAAGUUGAGUUUGAUCUAUCUAGAUAUCAGGAUUUCUCAUUAAAGUUUCACGGUGAUGUUAUGGAAGAGACUCAAGAUUCUUCACAUCCUGGUAUCUAUCAUGUGACUGUAAAUGGUGAAGAUGUAAUCAAAUGUGAACUGUCAUUUCAUCCAAGUGAAGUAGCAGCUUAUGACUUCAUCAUUCCUGUUAGUAUUAACCAGACCAAUGCACCAACCCCAAAUCCCACACCAUUCCCACCAACACCGGCACCAUCCAAUAAAAGUAUUCAGCACAUCAUCACUCCACGUCCCAUACACCAUACUAUUGCUACACCAAGACGGCAUAUCAUCGCCACGGCAAUGCGUCAACCACUGCAACUGUCUAAUACUGUUAUGGAAUUCUCCUUACCGUCCGGGUUCUAUGAAAUGGGAGCACAGCAGGGAGUCUCUGGACAAAGUAAAACGACUUUGAUGGUGAACAACAGUGAUAAGAAACUGAAAUGGAACGUAGAUAUCAAGAAACAUAACAAAGCUCUGCAAGAGGGAAUAUUUAAAUUCUUACAAGGAAAUAAUAUGCCAUUUAUGGGUGGCGAUGAUGAUGGCAUUGGCGGAACCUUGGGUCUUGGUGAAACUUUUACAUUGGGUAUACUGUUUUGUCCAGAAUCUACAUACCCAAGUUCACCACGUGAUGGCGCAGCCAAUCAUCUUGCAAUGGAUAUUGAAAUGGAAGGUACUAAUCGACAAGACUUGGCGUCACGAUCUCUUGGAUCAGCGGCUUUCCCCAAUGAAGACACGGAGGAAGGUCUGUUCCAUCAAGAAGCCUUAAUGGCUGUACAAAGAUGGAUCACUUUACAAGGAUGGCCUGGUGGUCCAAAUCCUGUCACAAUACCUGAGGGUCUUAGAAGUGGUGUGAGUAAGAAUUCGUUGGGGGAGUCUGCCGGUGACAAACCACCCCGAGGUGUAGAUUCUGGUGGUGGUAGUGGACAUAAGAAAGGUCUGAGUCGUACUAUUUAUGAUUUGGUUGCACAUUUGACUGGUAGAGCUGUCCCUGGUAUACCAAUCAACCAACCAUUACCAGUAGAUGCAACAGAACGAGUAUUACAAUUACACUGGCAGCAUUCAACUAUGUUAACAUUCUUAAGAGGUCAAGGGGCAUCAGUAGCAUUUAUCAAACCUGAAUAUUUAUUUGAACCAAAGGACUACAAGAGAUAUGUCAAACUACAGGAACAGAUCAAAGCACAGAAAAGAGAACGUGAUAUUAAACAGAAUGCCAAAGUUGAUGUAGAAAUCAUUGAGAGCGCAUUGGAUGAUAAUUUAUUUGAGUCUGUCUCUAAGAGAGCUUGGACUGACUUGAUACUGCAGAUACUAAAGGUUUUAUUGCUGUCUCGUGUGACUCCACGUCAGUUUAAAUCUAUGUCAGCCUCUGGUGGUAUGAGUUUACCUGUCAUCAAUCCUGAUCCUACAUCAAGCAAUGUGUACUCCGUUGGUGAAAGAAUAUUGCUAUCAUGGUUAAAUCAUCAUUAUGAACAUCAGAGACAUAUUAUAUGGAAAGACUGUAGUAAAGGUGGUGUACCUCCAUCAAGAUGGGUUGUGAAUUUUGACUUUGAUUUGCUAGAUGGUCUUGUAUUGGCUGCUGUAUUAGCUGCUCACAUACCGUUCCUGACCACUACCCAUUUACAAGAGAUGUACACUCAUCCCAAUACAGCUGAACAGUGUCUACAUAAUACAUUGAAAGUUGUCAGUGCAUUUAAAUGUAUUGGUCUGGAUUAUGAUAUACAGGCCAUUGAUAUUACAGAUCCUAACCCUGUUGCUCUACUACUGCUAUGUGUGCAGUUAUAUCAGAGGUUACCACACUACAUACCUAAAGCUAGCGUAGAGUUUAUUGGCACAUUACAUAGCAGCGUUAUGCGACAAGUGCGUCUCAACAACCCUAGUAACAAACCACUCAUAUACCAUGCUAGCAUUGCUGGCAGGGACGCCAGGGAUUUCUUGCUACCUAAGGGUGAUCAAAUCACAAUAUCCCCCAGAGGCAAAGUGGAUCUACCUCUUGAGUUCCGUAGUCGAUUUCUACGUCCAGCUGAGGCAUUCCUGGUAUUGGUCGGUAGACGUGCUGGUGCAACUACUGGUGGAACUAUGGUGUUUACUCUACGUACAGCGAUUGAUAAUAUUGAGCCUGUGAAUGUUUUGAAGAUCGAGAACCCUUGCUAUGAACUCUACAAAAUAAUGAUUCCUGUGCACAAUGUCUUUGAAGAAUCUGGUGACUUCAAAGUUGUACUUGUUGAAUCCAAGGAUGAUUUCCCCAUUGGUGAGUCAAGUGCUGGUGGCGGGUUUCUGAAAUCAAAGCCCAUGGAACCAAAGAAAGUGAAAUCUAAGAUUGACCACGGACAGAAGAAAGAGAGGACUCCAUCUCCUGCUAAAGUUGAAGAUGUGACUUUUAAAAUGGAUACAAAACAGGAAGGUGACAAGGGAAAUCAGUUCAGCUUUUUCUUCUGCUCCCAAGACACUGUUCAUUUAAGUACUACUGAUCCAGCGACAGUGGAGGUUGAAUUCUUACCAUUUAGUCCUGGACGAAGGCAGUGUUCAGUGUUAUUUAUCAAUGAAAAGAUUGGUGAAUUUCUCUACUCGAUAGAAGCCAUAGCAGCCCUGCCAGUACCAUCUUUGUUACCAUAUCAACCAAGUCUCACUAGUAUCAGGAUUAGUAGUGCUGCCGCUGCAGGUUCUGGGCAGGGCAUGUUUGGUGGAGAUGAUAGAGUGAUUUACUGGAGAUGUGACAGCAAUAAUACAUUAGAAGAGGAACUCCAUAUACCAGUCACAAACAAAGCCAGAGAACUUGCUUUAGUCAUAGCAGCACAGCAAAGAAUGACAACCAAAGAAAUUGAGAGACGUAAAAUCACUGGAACAUUGUGUAGUAGUUCAGUCACUGCUGCUAUUGCUCAAUUAGAAAUGGCAGAUACUAUCAAAAGUGCUACCGUCUUGUCAAAGUUUAGAGACCCUUCUUCUUUGAAAGAAAGGGAUAAAGAGGGAAAAGUCUUUGAAGUGGAUAUCAAUUCUAAAUUUUUCUGUGCACCAAGUUUGUUGACGAUACCACCAGCAGGUAAACAGAAACCACAGAUGAAAGUUGACAAUGAUGUGCUAGGUAAUACACCAGCACAGUCCACACCAACAGGUAUUAUUUAUGAAGAGGGAGAAGUGGUUUUACCAAUAAAAUUUGUACCCAAAGGUGCUGGGCAUUACCCAUGUCGUGUUGUACUUCGUUCAGACAAUGAUAUCCGUGUAUAUCAGAUAGAAUGUACUGUCAAUCCUGAAGGCACAGCAGCUGAAAUAGAGUUUACUGCACCUGUACAUCAAGCCAUAACACAAGAAAUACCAAUUAUAAAUCAGACUCCUCAUGACUGGCCGUUACAAGCAUCUAUUGAAGGUGUAGGUUUUUUUGGACCACCGUAUUUACUAGCUAAAGCGAUGCAAUCGUCAUAUUAUCCUCUGAUGUUUAAACCAUCUAUGGAAUCUUACACCACGUCUGCAGCUGUAAUGGAAGUGAGUAUCUUGAAUCCCACAGUGACUGACCUGACAUUUGAUGUCAUAAUUGAUGGUGAUGGUUUGAAUGGUGAUGAUACGAUAACACUCACACCAGGUCAGAGAGCAAUGUAUCAGUUGACCUAUGCACCUGCUAUAGUUGGUGAAUUCACUGGAAGUUUAAUAUUCCAAAAUGAGAAUGUUGGUGAAUUUUGGUAUGACUUGCGUCUGAUAGCGGAAACACCAUCGCCAGUGAUAUUGCCACACUUAGAAUGUGAAUUAGGAAAAUGGACACGGCAGUAUAUCAAACUGUCCAAUCCCACUGAAGAAACCUUACAGCUAAGACCAACUAAUACUAACAUGAAUAACUUUACACUGGAAAUUGAUAUAGAUAAAAGGAUUAUUCUAGCACCACAUUCUAGUGUAGAACUGCCUCUACAGUUCAUGCCAUCUUGUCUGGGACAAGGCUAUCAGUCAGCCAAGAUUGCUUUCUCUUGUGAUCAGCUUGGUGAUCUGGUAUACUUAGCAUCAGGGAGUGGUUUCACUCCACAACCAGUAGAUCCAGUUAGUAUCAGUGCUUCUAUAGGCGGCAACACAUCAUUAAUAAUACCAUUCCGUAAUCCAAUGGACCAGACAGUACUUGUAGAUGUUAUAUUAUCAGAUAAUAAGAAUGUCUUAGAUCAAACUUAUCUAGAUAAAAACAAUGUGAAGCCAGAAUCAGCAUUUUGUCUGUUAUUGAAGAACUCUACUGGUGUUGCAGUGUCACCUAAAUCAACCCUGGACAUACCGAUAACAUUUGCACCCGAUAACAUGAAUCUACAUGAAGCAUUGAUGAUUGUCUCUAUCAGACCAGAAGACAACUCUAGUUGGGAUUACCUGCCACCAACACAACCUGAUCAACCAAAUGGUAGAAGAGAUACUGACAGACGUUCACCAAGCGGUGGUCUCAAAGAUAUUCGAUGGUUAUAUCCAAUUAAUGGUAUCCCAGAGUCACAUCCCGUAACUGAUGCAACAUACAGUGCUGUUGUUGAGUGUCAGACACGUAGUCGCAUAGAAGAAAGACUAGAAGCUACACUCAUGGGUGCUGUACCUAGCUCAGCUAGUGGAUAUGAAAAGGUUGUGUCAACUAGAGCAGUCACUCCCAAAGAUGAGACUCAUACACCCAGCACUAGUGAUGGUGUGGUAGUUGGAGAAGGUAACACUGUAACAGAAGAGUUUUCUUAUGAGAUAAUAUAUGACACAGAGGAAGCCAACGCACAGCUUGGUAACUCUGUAGCUAUCAGCUUAGUGCGUAAAAUGAGAGAUAAAUCUACUGGCAUUGUCACAUUGUUAUUCAAUGUAGUAUUUGCACCGUACAAAGUCAUGAAUUAUGAUGUGAAGUUACGUAUAGUUGCAGCAACCGGCGGUGUGUGGACGUUCCCAUUACGAUUCAUAUCAACUGAACCAAUAGUAGACGACACUAUAACGAUAGAGGCAGCGGGUCUUGGCAAGACAUCAGCUGUAGGAUUCCGACUGACUAGUCAGGCAAGACAUCCAAUUGCUUUUAAUAGUUACUUUGUAGCUGGCAGUGAUGUUGAGUUUUCUGUAAGCCCCCAGUCUGGUGAACUGCUACCACUUGGUACAAAUGGAACUUUAAUUACAAUAUCAUUCACACCCAAAAUUUAUGGUAAAACGUACAUUGGAAAAUUAGUUGUACAGACUGCUGAUAUGCAGUGGACAUAUGACAUCAAAGGCAUUACACCAUCAUAUGCACCACCUACAGGACAGUCAGAAAGACCAAUAGCUGGGCCACAUCCUAAACCCAAAUAUCAUCGUAGACCAUUAAAUUAUGUUCGCAAUAAUCUUCGAUUGACAACAACUGCCGUGUCUUCACCUGUGAAAGGAGCCCCAAUUUUGAAUUCUAAAAUGAAACUAUAAAUACAUAACCCGGUGUUUCUUGUAUACUGUAAACCGCUGUAAUUUCACAACAGAUCAAUUUUUCAUGAAUUUAGAUAUAUAUUUUUUAAAUACAGCUUCUAUAAACAGAGAGUCAAACUGAUACUUGUCAAUCUUCAUCAAUGUUUUUAGAUUUUCAAAUCACAAACAUUUUUUGAAGAUGAAGAAAAUUUUAUGGUUUCCUGUAUACUUUACUUAUUAUAGUAAUGUAUGUAAACAAAUUGUGAACAAAAUAAAGAUUUUAAAACAGUUCCUUUCAACAGCUGUCAUUCCGUCCCUAUCUAGUUCUGUAGACUAUUUAUGAAGCUGAAAAAAUAUGUUAUUGAUUUUUAGAACACUUGUAACAUAAUAUCCGAUAUACAUGUAUUAUUGAUGAGAAUAGUAUCAGUAACUUUAAUGUGAAAAUUGUGUUCUAUAUGAUACUAUUUGUAAAUAAUAUUUUUUAAUUUGAUUGUAAAAACAUUGCCUCAUUUUUAAAUACGAAACGAUUGCUUCAGCAGAGACUCGUAUUGAGAAGAAUCGUACCGGUAUGUCUGAAUGUUUUUUACUUAUUUCAUUAAGGUUGUAAACAAAUGUGUGUAAAGUAUGUUGGUUUUGCCAUUGUUAUCAAUAAAUAUUUUAAGUGAAAGAAA